GACUAUACUUUUCUCAGUUUUGUUUUAUAGUCCCCCUGCUGUUAAAAUUUCUUUACUUCUGCAGUCAAAAAUCCACUACCACUCGGAUAAUUAACUCCCCUGAUAACUUUUAAAACAGGCUGUUUCUCUCCCAGAGUGCGCUCUUUUGUUCCUGUGUCCCCGACCCGCGCGCCCUUCUUCCGGCUCCCACUCACAACCUCGGCGCCGCCGGUCCCACAGUCAUGACGGCCUUCCGCGUGGCCCGCGAGGCCUAGUCACCCCAGGGGGGGCCCACGCCCGGCGCCUCUUCCCCCCCACCCCCACGUUAUAGCUCCCUUUCUUUUGCCGGCGCAGCGGCUCUGGGCGCGAGGGCCCUUUACAAAACUUUUAAAGCAGCUUUCUUUCCCAGCGCGGCUCCUCUCCCUCUCUGCCGCGCGCCGCCUCCGCGCUGCCGGUCCCGCGGUCAUAACGGCCUUCCGCGUGGCCCGUGAGGCCUGGUCACCCCAGGGAGGGGGGCCCUUUACAGGACUUUUAAAGCGCCUUUAUUUCCCGGCGCAGAUCCCUCCCCGCCGCGCGCUGCCUCCGCGCGCCGCCUAGGCGCCGCUGGUCCUGCGGUCAUGAGACGGUCUCCCGCGUGGCCCGCGGGGCCUGGUCACCCCAGGGGGGGGCCGCGCCUGGCUCCUCUGCGCCAGGCGUCUCUCCCCCCCUCCACCAUGUUUUAGCUCUGUUUAUUUCGCCGGCGCAGCGGCUCAAGCCCCGGCCCCUCCAUUCAUUGGCUCCGCCCGCGCCUGGCUCCUCUUCCUUUUGUUUCCCACUUUACGCCGUUCUCCCGAAGUUAAAUAAGACCAGACAAACCUAAAAUUCACAUCAAACUGCUUUUAAUUUUAAAAACAGCCUUUUUUUCUUUCUUUCCCUCUCACAUUGCGUUCCAAUUCUGUGGCCUCUCUGGCUUUGGUCUCCAGCCCAGCCCAUUCAUUUCCUGUUUCACCACCCACAUGGCGGCAGCGUCCCUGCGCCAUACGCCACCCGCCGUAGCCGCCCAAAAGCCGUGGCUUUCACAGCGCGCCCAGCUCUGGCGUGGCCGUGAGCCUUUCAAAACAAAGCCCACCUAACUUCACGCUGUGCCUCUCCUGCGGCCACACCCUGCCCCACACACCGGGCUCCUUACAGCAAGCAAGCCAUGCCUCUGACUGCCUCUGCCGCUGCACCGCCCCUACAGGGCGCGGCCACCAUCUCUGCCGCCCGCCUCGGCUGUCGCCCCGCCCCUCCGGGGCACAGCCACCGCCUUGGCCGCCGCGCCGCCCCUCCGGGGACGCGGCCACCCCCUCUGUCGCCCCGCCCCACGCGCGCGGGGCUCCGCGCAGCCAGCAAGCAGUGCCUCUGACUGCCUCUGCCACCGCCCCGCCCCUCCGGGACGCGGCCACAGCUCCCUUUGGCGCCAGGCGCCAACUGGGAUCAGCAAAGCCUUGCCUCUGACUGCCCCUGCCCGCCGCGGCCACCAUCUCUGCUGCCCGCCUCGGCCGUCGCCCCGUCCGUCCGGGGGACCGAACGCGAGCUGCAGCUCCCACUGACGCCAGGCGUUAACUGGGAUCACCAUUCGGGGCCUCCAAGCCCCACCCCCUUACGCGAUCGCAGCGGAACGACGUCAUUUCCCUGCGCCGCUUAGCGCGUCACGGUAAGCCUCCGUUCUCUGCUUACGGUGUCCCGCGUUCGCCCCGCCCACUCUGCAGUUCCUUGCUUGCCCCUCUGCGGCACCACACACACAGGCUGCCACUGGUGCCGCAUGACAAUUAGCGCGACACAGUAAGCCUCCGCUGUCUGCUUACAGUGUCCCGCGUUCGCCCCGCCCACUCUACACGUUCCUUGCCUACCUCUCCGCGGCACCGCACACACAGCAGCUCAGCGGCUCUGCUCAGGCAUGCUUUUUUUACAAUUUGGCUCCGCUCAAGAGAUGCUUUUUUAUUACAAUUCUCAAACCGUUUAAUCAAAGUUACUGGCCACCUGAUAAUUUUAUCAGCCUUGUUUAUCAAUCAAAGCCUUCACCACCUCCUGUUUAACAACUAAGGUUAUAAAUUCCUUUUUGCUGGAAACCACUAGCUCUAUUUCAAGACAAGGGUUUUCUUCAAAGUUUUAUUUUAUUUUACCAACCUUAUUUAUCAAAGCCUUCACCAAUCUCCUGUUUAACAACUAAGCUUAUAAAUUCCUUUUUGCUGGGAACCACUAGCUCUAUUUCAAGACAAGGGUUUUCUUCAAAGUUUUAUUUUAUUUGUCUUGAUUCAUAGUACUGCAAAUAACAACUUUAAAAGUAACUGUGUUCAAAAUCUGACAGUAUUAUAUCAGUUUUGAUUUAUUCAUAAGAUUGCUAAACCUAUACUUACUUAAUUCUACUAUAGUCCAAAUCCCAAACAAAAAGGCAAAACUUGACCUUCAAACCUUAGAGAGAUCUUAAUAUGGUUUUUUAUAUUUUUAACACUUGUGACACUUGGAGUUCUGAGACAGGUAAACCUACACAAGGUGGAGCUGCCUGCCCCCUCCAUGGACCACGCUCAAAUGCAGCAGAAGAUACUGGACAAAAAUGUCCCAUCCUGGCAUUCUUUGAGACCUUACUCCAGGGCUACUGGACUGUCCUAGCCACCAGAGAGUGGGUAAGCCAUCCUAAGUUCUAGCCCUCAUAGGAAAUGUCGACACUGCCAGAUUCGUCACCGACAAAAAUUCGCUGCUGGAGGCUGAGGGGGUUCAAGAUAACAACAGCCCCCUUUAAGGUGUCCGUCUCAGAUUCCAAGUCACACUACAGUCUCAGAAUUCUGCCUUGCCACCUCAACGUCACCCUGAUAAAAUACCAUCUCAAAACCAAAGUCACCUUCCUAUCUACCUCACCUGGGUCCUUAAAUAUAAUAGUGCCAUGUCUCCUAAUAACAUUAUGUCUCUUUGUUUUUCCAGUCUGACAUACAUACAUUCACCAGUGAAGUUGUCCUGGCUAAAACACCUGGCAUCAGUGUCUACCUGGGCAUCAACCUUCAUCCUGUCAAACUCCCCUAGACCCCAAUACAGCGCCCUCAGCCAGCAGGAAGUAGUUACAGAGAGAGAUCUUCGCCCCUUUUCCUAAUAACCAGAAGACGGGAUAUGAAAGAGUUGCCGGCCCAGAUAAAACACUGUAACCAGAAAAGGCUGCACCUAAACUCCUCCCCCACCCUGCCCCCUAUGGACUUGAUUGUAAUUCUGUAUCCCCAUCCUUAAGGACCUGUGCGCCAAUGAGAUAUCUGUGCAUCUCUAAUGAAGUUAGGGUGCUGCCCUAAGCUUAGGCUAUUUAGAUCUCCCACGCCACGUGUCUGAGAGAGUUCGCCGGGGAGUUUUGCCAGAGGGAGUUCGCCAGAAAGAGAGAGCUCGCCAGACUCCAGCGCGCCAGUCUCCACUCCCCGUGUUCCCAGAGACACCACAGCCCGGCCCCGGGCUCCGUGCAGAGAUGCCCGGGGCCGGCACCGCCGGCGGCGGGGGCCCCCUCCCCGCAUUCCCAGAAUAAAGCCACCGCUGACCACUA
This is a long non-coding RNA of Cavia porcellus (domestic guinea pig), 3517 nucleotides long. RefSeq lists it as uncharacterized. NCBI's taxonomy places the organism in Eukaryota, Metazoa, Chordata, Mammalia, Rodentia, Caviidae. The record is from RefSeq and is a predicted model, not a curated record. The transcript is spliced from 2 exons.